GCGCCCGUAGCUCAAUUGGAUAGAGCGUUGGAUUCCGGUUCCAAAGGCUGGGGGUUCGAUUCCCUUCGGGCGUACAA
RNAcentral lists this transfer RNA (77 nucleotides) under Candidatus Zhuqueibacterota bacterium. RNAcentral's name for it is "candidate division KSB1 bacterium tRNA-Arg". It matches the Rfam family "tRNA". From Rfam's summary of the family: Transfer RNA (tRNA) molecules are approximately 80 nucleotides in length. Their secondary structure includes four short double-helical elements and three loops (D, anti-codon, and T loops). The record is from RNAcentral. Lineage: Bacteria; Pseudomonadati.